CCAAGUGAAAAGAAGUGGAUCAGUGUUGAAGCUUCAGUUUGAAGAUGAAUUCAGAGAUUGUUGCUGAUGACGUUUGUGUUCACAAUGACAGGUGGCAGCUGGGGGCGACUGCUUCCUCUGCAGGACCAAGUCUGGACUGGAGCAGGAGACUCUGUGACUCUCGUCUGCAACGUCUCUGCACUCACACCUGGUGAUGACUUCUUCUGGUAUCGACAAGAUCCAGGAGCAGCUCCAGAGUUCUUGAUCUACAUCUCAGGAACAGGGACCACAAGAUCAGCUGCCUCUCUGGACUCCAGGUUUUCAUCUCACCUGCUGGACAGAAGGAACCAGAUAGAGUUGAAGAUCAAGUCUGCUGCAGGGGCGACACACUGAGCAGCGACAUGACUGGUCUAGAGUAGGAGGAGCCACAGAGGAGGGGA
Molecule: non-coding RNA, 419 nt
Organism: Synchiropus splendidus (mandarinfish)
Lineage: Eukaryota; Metazoa; Chordata; Actinopteri; Syngnathiformes; Callionymidae
Source: the annotation of a RefSeq genome assembly